AUGAGCAGGCUUGAAAGCUCAAAAACAGCAGAAUAUCUCCACCAAGAUACGUCUUUAGAUCCUGCUCUCAACCCGUCCUUGGACUCCGAUCACGGUCUCAUUACCCUGGCUUUCCCCUCCACUACUUGGUCUUCCUGCCCAAGUCCACAGAGGACCACUCCCCGCUCAGGGUCAGGACCAAAGCUGACCCCUUCUGCAUCAGUGACUCAGCUGGAAUCCCAUCGCUGGUCUGUCCUGCCUCCUAUCUCCCCUGUCAGAGGACGCUGUGGCACAGCAGCAUCACGCUACUCGGAGCUCAGCUGCAGUCAGUCUCAUGUGUUUGAUGAACUGGAGGCCAUUGCCCCUCGGUCAGCUUCCUGUCCGUCUCUGGACCAGACAUCAGACUCAUCAGGUUCUCCUUCCCCUGAUACAGAGCUGUCUCCUGGCCUGGCAGCGCUAACUGUGGGCUGUGACUCAGGGAAUCUGGGCUCCUUGUCCCGGGUCCAGCUGCUCCUACUGGACCGACUGGAGCCUGAGGCGCCACCGAGUCCCUUCGGUCAGGAAGAAGAGCUGUCGCUGAUGCAGGACUGGUCAGAUCUGAGGAUGCAGUAUGAUCCAGGUUUGACUUCAGCAGGUGUUUUGAGGCCCCUCACAGCUGGCAGCAUCUCUGAAAGGUGUGACUCUCCGGGGAAAGUCCAUGAAAACAAAUCGGAUCAGUCUGAAGGAGGUUCAGGGUCACCGUCUUCAUGGAUCAUAGACCAGAGUCCCUCAUACGACAUGUUCAGAUCCGCCUAUUCCCCCUGCUCCAGCACAGAUGAAAGGGGCCCCACCGAGGAGGAGUCCAAUUAUCCAGGAUGGAGGGACCGAGUGGAGUCCUCGGCUGGAGGAAGGAGGCCUGAGAGUGUUGACCACAGCACUGAAGAGAAGGAGAGAAGGAUGGAGGAGAGGAAAACAAAGGUGCUGCACAUACUUACCAAACUGCAGGACACGCCUCGUCAGCCAAAUGGCAACAAAGGUCGCUCCAACUUUGAGGACUUCGACUUUUUGGCAAAGUAUUGCAUUUUCAGUCAGGAGAAGCUGGCUGAGUACAAAAGAGCUUUUGAAGCAGAGGACAGUGAUGGUGACGGCUACAUCUCCUGCCUUCAGGUUCUACUCGCUCUUAAAAACAUCAUCCCCCCCGAGCUGCUGUCUGAUGAAGAGGAGAUCUACGUCUACAGGAUCCUGGAGAUGGUGGACUUCAGAGUGACAGAUGGGCUCGUAGACCUGAGGCUCUUUGCUGUGAUUUCUAGUCUGGCACAGAAAAUAGCCACCAUGGAUGAGUUUAUGCGAUCUCUAAUCAGCGACAUGGACUUCCGCUCGUUAGAAGUGAGGCUCUUCAAAGCGAAGCAACUGUUCCUGUUCCUCCUGGAGGAGCAGCGAGGAGACACCGGAGCUCAGCAGGGCUUCAUCAGCGCAGAGCAGCUGCUCCUGGAGCUGAAGGCCGGGGGAAUCCAUCUGGAGCAGGAGGCAGCCAUCAGACUGGAGCUGCAGCACAUUCCUCCACUGGACCUGCUGGACUUCCUGGCCUACCUGCCCCUAUUCAUGCUCAUUCACAAGUCUGUCAUCUCCAACCCUCUCGAUGACUCCAUCAACCUCUGACCUCAGUCACUGCGCCGUCCACCCCUGUGCGGCUCAGGUAUCCACAUUACUGCCGCCACACUUAUCAGUACUGUACUCUUGUGUGAGAAGGUGAUACGCAAGACACAGGAAAGCUUAGAUUAAAGGCAACGAGCUCGGCACUGUAGUAAUGUUGUUAAACUCUCAUGAUCUUUAAGGCUUGGACACACCAGCAAUUAAUAUGGCAAUAAUUUUACAGUGAUUUCAACUCAUUCAACUCAUUGGGAUUAUUAGAUUGCAUUUGCAAGCAGGAAAUACCACAUCCGUUUGAACUGUAAUUACGACCAGCAGAGUGGCAAAAACAGUUCAUGUCAGCCUCCAACUUGUAAAUACAAGUCGAAGAUAUUGGGGAUUUCACAAGUUGAAAUAAAAGGUGUUUUUCUCAUUCUGCCAGUAUUACGUGAAUGCAGCAAGAAUUGGCGCGACCUGCCAGUUUGCACCGUUGCCAUCUUGGCUCUCGCAACAAGGAAGUUCCAAGUCUGUUCCUAACAUAACCUGCUCCUCACAAAAUGAACAACAGCUUGUGACAUAUCUGUUACCUUUGGAAAUGGUGCUAAGUUAUACGUUGGUGGGUUGUUAGCCGGGCAUAGCACUGUCACAAUAUCAAAUUUUCACUACAAGAUUAUCGUGGCCAAAAGAAUUCGAAAUGACAACAUUAUUGUGAUAUCUAUAAAUGUUUCUAUAGUAGCCCAGAACGGACAAACCAAUCACUAACUCUAGCCUUAUGCCUUUUUCACACUUGGAGGGCUGAGCUGUAUUCAAAUAGUUCCAAUCUGCAAAUUCACUGCUAGAUGCCGCUAAAUCGUACACACUGGUCCUUUCUAAUGAAAUUCUGCAACUUAAUUUUAUUCUCAGCUAUGACUUCUGCAGAAUUAACUUCUGUGAUAUGUUGAUAAUUAAUAGGAUAAUAAAAGAUAUGUAUGGGAACCCCUACAGGACAAAGCUACAUUAAAUGGGCCUUCUAUGGUUUCUGUUAGAUACAUGACAUUUCAUAGAGCUGUAAAGUGCUGUCUAUGGUCCUGAAAUGUUCUGCAGCAGUGGGUGGAAAUCAAAAAAUCUUACACUGCAGUUAGACAAAGCUUUAAACGCACCACAGAACCAUUAUUUUGGUUGCAGUAGAUAAAAACUCUGUUCCCUGCUUCGGAGGUGGGUUCACGUAGAUUUUCUGAUGCAACAACUGCUUAUUGUUCUGGAGUAUAAAACAAUAUUUAAGCCACUCAGACUGUUGUCCUCUUCUAUCCAACUUAAUCAAUGCUGAUGAAUGAUAUUCAAUAAGAUAUUCAACUGAUAUAGUUUGAGCCAUUGUUUUGCCUCGGCUUUGCCAAUUAGAUACGGCCGUGCUCUCCUGCAGUUCAUACACGCUUGACAGACCGCCAUACAGGAAAACAUAAUGAGCUCCGACAGCCAGCAAAACCAGGAUUGUUAGAUCAGGGACGUCCUGUAAGCAACAUAUGUCCUGGUGUAAACCCCCCAAAAAAGACGAGAGAAAACUCAUUCUUCAACUUAAUGUUUAACCUGCUUUUUAAACUCUUUAGAUACAUAUAUUCAAUUCUGCCAUUUAUAAUAAUACGUUUAAAGUGUUCUUAUCAGUGUUUGUCUUCAGUGUUCUCCCCUACUUUUGUCUUUUCUUCCGUCAGAUGCAAUGCCUCCCUUACUUUGCUGUGACCUUUUAGGAAUCUAAACAAGCAAUUUGUGCGUGUUACCAUCUGUCGCUAACAGGUUCAGUAAUGAUUUUACCUAUACUUCCUUAAGGAUGACUUGCUUGAUGAUUUUAUUACUGUUUUCAAAUGACUGUAUAAGCUCUGAGAAGGUUUAAAGGUCCAGUGUGUAACAUUUAGGAGGAUCAAUUCACAGAAAGGGAAUAUAAUAUUCAUCAUUAUUGUAUAAUCACAUGAAAAUAAGAAUAUUUGCGUUUGUGUUACCUUAUAUUGAGUUGCAAUCUACCACUACACCAUGAGAUGCCACUAAAUCCUACACACUGGUACUUUAAGUCUCCAAAGUUUUGAACAUCAUACAAAUAGUGUUGUUUGGGGUUUUGUAGUUUUACUAACCUCAACUCAAGAUAUGAAAAAAACUCCAAUAAAAUCUCUCCCAGGUUUCCCCAAAACCAGCCGCCUCAGUUUAGUUGUAAUUUACUGUUCAGAUUGUGUCGGCUACGUCAGAAUCUUCUCCACAGCUGGAUCAGAAAUGUUUCUACAUGUUGCUGUAAAAGCAUAUUAAUGCAAACACAAAUACUCUGGAGAACAGAAAAAAUACAGAACAGGAUAUUUUUUGUCAAAAACUCAAGCUUUUACAUGUCGAAUUGCAUCACAUGUGUGUACAAGAGUGAAGGUGUGUUGCUUAUGUUAUGUUUGUUAUGUAUGUCUGGAACUGUAUGAGUAUAUGUAUAUUGUCUUUUAUUAUACAUGAUAUGUUAAAUCCGGCACCAUUCUUCAUAUUUUAUUGUUCAUAUGUUUGUCCAAAUAAAAAUGUACAGGGUGAGUGUUAAAAGUCAAAUGAGCCCUUUUCUUAUACAGAUUUGAGGUAUAUUCUGACUUUGAGUUAAAAAUUUUAAUUUUUUGUGAAAAUAUGGGCCCAAAUCUACUACUGUGAUCCUGUUGUAAACAAAAGAUUUAGUUGUUGUCUGGUAUGUGUGAAUUAAAAAGCCCUGUCAGUCAAUUUGGGAAAGAUAGCAAGCUCUAGUUGUGUUCCUCUGGAGGUGUGGUGACCUUUUUAUUGAUUUGGAUUUUGAAUUGUACCUUUUAAUAAAUGACUUUUAACAGUUUAAACAAUCACAGACUUUAAUUAAUAAGUCUGUUGGAAACCUUAAAAAAUAAUAAACUGCUCACAAAUCAGGCUAAACUUGUAUGUGAAUAUUGCGUCUCAGACUCUAAAACAUUUGACUAGACUGACUUUACUUAAACCUGCUAGUUGUGUCUGAUUACAGACUUGUGAGUAACAGUGAAGCUGCAGCCCUGUUCAUUUGUCAAGGGACCCUCUUCCCCCCUCUCAGGGCCCCCUGGUGGCCCAUGAACCCUCCUUUGAGAGCAAAAGAGGUGGCGCACGCGCAUCUUACACAAUGACCCUGAACGCACCACGUUGUUUUACACUUUAUUUUUUGUUGUGAAUAAAAUAUUUUGUGCUUUUGUUAAAUCUGAGAGACUUAAAUGUGUGAAUGUAUACAUUUGAUAAGAUUUCUCAGAAUUAUUAUUAUCCUAUAGUUCCUUUAAGCCUCACACACACACACACACACACACACACACACACACUGGGCUUUUUUUUUUUUCUCCUUCCCAGGUGGUGAUUGUUGUGUGUUCAGCGGCAUGCUGCUGUCAGGAGGCACACGCCAUCAGCCAAUUCAGCUCUGUGUCUCCACUCGACCACCCUACAAACCCCAUUCACUCAUUAAACCAGACACGCGUCCGGCUGCAGCCUCCGCUCUACCUGUCAAACUUCGUUUUGCAGAAACCCAAACUCUACCUCCGAAAAACUACUGGUGGUCGCCAAACUGCAGUCCUCCCACUGACACUCCCUCCGAGACAAACGCUCUCAUUAUUUCUUUUCACUUGGUUUGAGAAGUUCGGAUGAAAAAAAUCCGAAGGCAACAGCUUAGUUUCAGUUUCUGCGCGUCUGUGUGCACGAACAUUGGUACACAUGGUGAAUCCACUU
This 5283-nucleotide long non-coding RNA is filed under the name Dicentrarchus labrax (European seabass). Its description in RNAcentral is "lncRNA (ENSDLAG00005034679.1)". Lineage: Eukaryota; Metazoa; Chordata; Actinopteri; Moronidae. The record is from RNAcentral.